CGGCAUGUAGCGCACCGUCAUGGGGUGUCGGGGUUCGGAGGUUCGAAUCCUCUCAUGCCGACCA
Molecule: transfer RNA, 64 nt
Filed under: Serratia symbiotica
Lineage: Bacteria; Pseudomonadati; Pseudomonadota; Gammaproteobacteria; Enterobacterales; Yersiniaceae
Description: tRNA-Pro
Rfam family: tRNA
About the family: Transfer RNA (tRNA) molecules are approximately 80 nucleotides in length. Their secondary structure includes four short double-helical elements and three loops (D, anti-codon, and T loops).
Source: RNAcentral